UGGCGGCGUGCCUAAUACAUGCAAGUCGAACGCACUGACGUCGACAGAAGGUGCUUGCACUGGAAGUUGAUUGACGUGAGUGGCGGACGGGUGAGUAACACGUGGGUAACCUGCCCUUAAGCGGGGGAUAACAUUUGGAAACAGAUGCUAAUACCGCAUAAAAGUUGAGAUCACAUGGUCUUAAUUUGAAAGACAGCCUUUGGCUGUCACUUAAGGAUGGACCCGCGGCGUAUUAGCUAGUUGGUGAGAUAAUAGCCCACCAAGGCGAUGAUACGUAGCCGACCUGAGAGGGUAAUCGGCCACAUUGGGACUGAGACACGGCCCAAACUCCUACGGGAGGCAGCAGUAGGGAAUCUUCCACAAUGGACGAAAGUCUGAUGGAGCAACGCCGCGUGAGUGAAGAAGGUUUUCGGAUCGUAAAACUCUGUUGUUGGAGAAGAACAGGGACUAGAGUAACUGUUAGUCCUUUGACGGUAUCUAACCAGAAAGCCACGGCUAACUACGUGCCAGCAGCCGCGGUAAUACGUAGGUGGCAAGCGUUGUCCGGAUUUAUUGGGCGUAAAGCGAGCGCAGGCGGUUUCUUAAGUCUGAUGUGAAAGCCUUCGGCUUAACCGAAGAAGUGCAUCAGAUACUGGGAAACUUGAGUGCAGAAGAGGAAAGUGGAACUCCAUGUGUAGCGGUGAAAUGCGUAGAUAUAUGGAAGAACACCAGUGGCGAAGGCGGCUUUCUGGUCUGUAACUGACGCUGAGGCUCGAAAGUAUGGGGAGCGAACAGGAUUAGAUACCCUGGUAGUCCAUACCGUAAACGAUGAAUGCUAAGUGUUGGAGGGUUUCCGCCCUUCAGUGCUGCAGCUAACGCAUUAAGCAUUCCGCCUGGGGAGUACGACCGCAAGGUUGAAACUCAAAGGAAUUGACGGGGGCCCGCACAAGCGGUGGAGCAUGUGGUUUAAUUCGAAGCUACGCGAAGAACCUUACCAGGUCUUGACAUCUAGCGCCAAUCCUAGAGAUAGGACGUUCCCUUCGGGGACGCUAAGACAGGUGGUGCAUGGUUGUCGUCAGCUCGUGUCGUGAGAUGUUGGGUUAAGUCCCGCAACGAGCGCAACCCUUAUGAUUAGUUGCCAGCAUUUAGUUGGGCACUCAAAUCAGACUGCCGGUGACAAACCGGAGGAAGGUGGG
This 1175-nucleotide ribosomal RNA is filed under the name uncultured bacterium. RNAcentral's name for it is "bacterial SSU rRNA". It matches the Rfam family "Bacterial small subunit ribosomal RNA", at positions 37 to 1177 of the family's 1533-position model. The record is from RNAcentral.